AACGCUGCAGCCUGAGUCUGAGCCUACAGCGAUUGUCUUCCAGAGUGGCAGCUGAAAUUCCAGGGAGUAACAUCCAGAAGAAAUGACUGCCUGUAACAAUGACCCAGUUG
This is a long non-coding RNA of Cercocebus atys (sooty mangabey), 110 nucleotides long. RefSeq lists it as uncharacterized. The record is from RefSeq and is a predicted model, not a curated record. NCBI's taxonomy places the organism in Eukaryota, Metazoa, Chordata, Mammalia, Primates, Cercopithecidae. The transcript has 3 exons.